GACGAACGCUGGCGGCGUGCUUAACACAUGCAAGUCGAACGGUGAACCUCUUCGGAGGGGAUCAGUGGCGAACGGGUGAGUAACACGUGGGCAACCUGCCCCCGGCUCUGGGAUAACUCCAAGAAAUUGGGGCUAAUACCGGAUGUUCACCGCUUCCCGCAUGGGUGGUGGUGGAAAGGGUUUCCGGCUGGGGAUGGGCCCGCGGCCUAUCAGCUUGUUGGUGGGGUAGUGGCCUACCAAGGCGACGACGGGUAGCCGGCCUGAGAGGGUGACCGGCCACACUGGGACUGAGACACGGCCCAGACUCCUACGGGAGGCAGAAGUGGGGAAUAUUGCGCAAUGGGCGGAAGCCUGACGCAGCGACGCCGCGUGGGGGAUGACGGCCUUCGGGUUGUAAACCUCUUUCAGCAGGGACGAAGCGCAAGUGACGGUACCUGCAGAGGAAGCACCGGCCAACUACGUG
This 463-nucleotide ribosomal RNA is filed under the name uncultured bacterium. RNAcentral's name for it is "partial 16S ribosomal RNA". It matches the Rfam family "Bacterial small subunit ribosomal RNA", at positions 28 to 507 of the family's 1533-position model. The record is from RNAcentral.